Long non-coding RNA from Heteronotia binoei (common prickly gecko), 180 nucleotides. RefSeq lists it as uncharacterized. NCBI's taxonomy places the organism in Eukaryota, Metazoa, Chordata, Lepidosauria, Squamata, Gekkonidae. The transcript is spliced from 3 exons. The record is from RefSeq and is a predicted model, not a curated record.
UUUUUCGUUUCAGUGAACCCAUCUCUAUAGAUUAUUACAACUGCAGAAAAUUCAUAAGGCGACCCAGUGAGGACUCUGCGCAGUCUUAUCAAAAUGUUGUUGGACCAUCCAAAGGCACCGGGUGCGGCUUCCCAGAGAUGGGUGUCUAUGAAAACAGUGCAGCUAUCAUAUUAUGGCAAA